RNAcentral lists this ribosomal RNA (883 nucleotides) under uncultured Acidobacteriota bacterium. RNAcentral's name for it is "bacterial SSU rRNA". It matches the Rfam family "Bacterial small subunit ribosomal RNA", at positions 65 to 917 of the family's 1533-position model. The record is from RNAcentral. Lineage: Bacteria; Pseudomonadati; Acidobacteriota.
AACGCGAAAGGGGCUUCGGCCCUGAGUAGAGUGGCGAACGGGUGAGUAACACGUGGGUGAUCUACCUCUGAGUGGGGGAUAACGUUCCGAAAGGAGCGCUAAUACCGCAUGACGUUCCGGGUUUGAAGACCUGGAAACCAAAGUCGGGGCCCUUAGGGAAACUUAAGGCCUGGCGCUUGGAGAGGAGCCCGCGCCUGAUUAGCUAGUUGGUGAGGUAAUGGCUCACCAAGGCGACGAUCAGUAGCCGGCCUGAGAGGGCGGACGGCCACACUGGGACUGAGACACGGCCCAGACUCCUACGGGAGGCAGCAGUGGGGAAUUGUUCGCAAUGGGCGCAAGCCUGACGACGCAACGCCGCGUGGAGGAUGAAGGUCUUCGGAUUGUAAACUCCUGUUGACCGGGAAGAAUGGGUCCUGACCGAACACGUCGGGGCAGUGACGGUACCGGUUGAGGAAGCCACGGCUAACUCUGUGCCAGCAGCCGCGGUAAUACAGAGGUGGCAAGCGUUGUUCGGAAUUACUGGGCGUAAAGGGCGCGUAGGCGGCCUGCUAAGUCGGACGUGAAAUCCCCAGGCUUAACUUGGGAACUGCGUCUGAUACUGGAAGGCUCGAGUGCGGGAGAGGGAUGUGGAAUUCCAGGUGUAGCGGUGAAAUGCGUAGAUAUCUGGAGGAACACCGGUGGCGAAGGCGGCAUCCUGGACCGACACUGACGCUGAGGUGCGAAAGCCAGGGGAGCAAACGGGAUUAGAUACCCCGGUAGUCCUGGCCCUAAACGAUGAGUGCUUGGUGUGGCGGGUAUCGAUCCCUGCCGUGCCGAAGCUAACGCAUUAAGCACUCCGCCUGGGGAGUACGGCCGCAAGGCUGAAACUCAAGGAAUUGACGGG